Molecule: ribosomal RNA, 576 nt
Filed under: uncultured Francisella sp.
Lineage: Bacteria; Pseudomonadati; Pseudomonadota; Gammaproteobacteria; Thiotrichales; Francisellaceae
Description: bacterial SSU rRNA
Rfam family: Bacterial small subunit ribosomal RNA
Source: RNAcentral
CUAACGCUGGUGGCAUGCUUACACAUGCGAGUCGAACGGUCACAGGUUUCGGCAUGCUGACGAGUGGCGGACGGGUGAGUGACGCGUAAGAAUCUGCCCAUCUGUGGGGGAUACCAGUUGGAAACGACUGUUAAUAGCCGCAUAAUAUCUGCGUGAUUAAAGGUGGCCUUUGUGCUGCCGCAGAUGGAUGAGCCUGUCGUUGGAUUAGCUAGUUGGUGGGGUAAAGGCCUACCAAGGCUACGAUCCAUAGCUGAUUUGAGAGGAUGAUCAGCCACAUUGGGACUGACACACGGCCCAAACUACUACAGGAGGCAGCAGUGGGGAAUAUUGGACAAUGGGCGAAAGCCUGAUCCAGCAAUGCCAUGUGUGUGAAGAAGGCUCUACGGUUGUAAAGCACUCUUACUCGGGGAGGAAAGCCUAUGAGUAAAUACCCCUGUACGAAGGACGUCACCCAAACAAUAACGACCGGCCUAACCUCCGCUUGACCAGCAAGCCCGCGGCCAACUACGGGGCGGCUCCGCAGCGCUCACUCGCGAACUUACUGCGGCCCUCACGGCGUCUGUAGGGUGGCUCUGC